Molecule: ribosomal RNA, 206 nt
Filed under: uncultured bacterium
Lineage: Bacteria
Description: partial 16S ribosomal RNA
Rfam family: Bacterial small subunit ribosomal RNA
Source: RNAcentral
CACGCAGGCGGUUUUUAAGUCAGAUGUGAAAGGUACCGGCUCAACCGGUGACAUGCAUUUGAAACUGAAAGACUUGAGUAUUGGAGAGGCAAGUGGAAUUCCUAGUGUAGCGGUGAAAUGCGUAGAUAUUAGGAGGAACACCAGUGGCGAAGGCGGCUUACUGGACGGUAACUGACGUUGAGGCUCGAAAGCGUGGGGAGCAAACA